RNAcentral lists this ribosomal RNA (253 nucleotides) under uncultured bacterium. RNAcentral's name for it is "partial 16S ribosomal RNA". It matches the Rfam family "Bacterial small subunit ribosomal RNA", at positions 524 to 776 of the family's 1533-position model. The record is from RNAcentral.
UACGGAGGGUGCAAGCGUUAUCCGGAAUUACUGGGUUUAAAGGGUGCGUAGGCGGCUUAGUAAGUCAGGGGUGAAAGGUCACGGCUCAACCGUGGAAUUGCCUUUGAUACUACUGAGCUUGAAUCAGGAUGAGGUUGGCAGAAUGUGGCAUGUAGCGGUGAAAUGCAUAGAUAUGCCAUAGAACACCGAUUGCGAAGGCAGCUGGCUAGACCUUGAUUGACGCUGAGGCACGAAAGCGUGGGGAGCGAACAGG